Molecule: RNA transcript, 2541 nt
Organism: Hipposideros armiger (great roundleaf bat)
Lineage: Eukaryota; Metazoa; Chordata; Mammalia; Chiroptera; Hipposideridae
Gene: CLBA1
Gene name: clathrin binding box of aftiphilin containing 1
Exons: 5
Source: RefSeq, a predicted model, not a curated record
CCGGCCGGAGCCAGACGCCGAGGCCCGAGCGCGCCCAAGCCCGCCCCUCGGGAGCCGCGGGCCAGGCCCCCGCCGGGGCCUCAGCGGCUGAGCCCGACUCCCGGCUGCCUUCCGGCCCUCCCCGCCAGAGGACGACUCCGAGCCCCCCACCGCACUCUCGGGGAUCUAUGGGCGUUGACUCCCCCGGGCUUCCCGUACCUCUGCCCACCUGGCCCAGGCAGGACCCCGCAGUUCGUCCGCCUCCCAGGCCCGGCCGUCCCCCAGCCUCUGUGCUCCGGGCAGCGGCUUCAGUCCCUUUCCCUGGGUGACCAGGCUGUGUAUGUGGUUCGUGUCUGUUCCACAGCGACACGGGACCCACAGUGGGCCAUCUGCACUCCCGAGGAAGCCGCCGGCAGCUACUGGGCAGUGGGCGAGCAGGCAGCCCGGAGGCCCUGCCCAGCCCCGCGCCUCCCGGUACAGCAGUGUGUAGUCUCCUGAGCAUCUCCCCUUCUAUGCGCGCCAGGCGAACCCAACAUGCAAGGCCCGCGGGAGCUGGGAGCAGAGCCCGGCCACAGGCUCCUUCUGAGCGGGUCUCCGAGUGGCCUCGCAGCGGAAGCAGGGGAGGUUUCCCUCCACCAGGCUUCUGAAGAAAGUGAUGCAAACGAGGCGCCAGGGAGACAGAGUGGUGCCAGCGUGGGAUGGGGGCGGGCCCGCUCCCGCCUUCCUCCAUCAGAUGGGGCAGCCAGGCUCUCUGGGCUCAGCAAGGGCUUUUCCGCCUCCGCCUCCGCCUCCGGGGGCCCGGACCCAGGGGAACACAGCAGUGCCUGGGGGCAGUUUGAAGGCUUUCGGGAAUCUUCAGCCACGUUCGAACAAUUCUCUCAGCCCUUCGAAUCCCCAGAGAGGGCCGCAGCACCUCAGCCGCCAAGAACUGCUUCUGCCCAAAAGGAGUGUGGCUCUCAGCACUCUCACGAGGGCGGCCCUUGGGUGACAGGAGCAGCCGCCAUCUCACCUUCCGAGCCCAUUCUCAGCUAUGAGAACAUUUUUAGGUUUGCUUUUCAAGAAGUACCAGUGCAGCAGGUGACUGAAGAUGUUCCCACCUUACAUCAUCUCUUAGAGAUUGGCAGUGAGGAACCAGACCUUGGGUCUGCACACAAAUGCUGUCCUGAAUCCAGAAAACUCUGGAGAGCUCUUCAGAGCGCAGACGGCACAGCCACGUCCCGCUGCCUGUGGCGUGAGUCCCGCUGCCAGGAAAACUUCCUCCUUGUCCUUGGAGUAGAUGCUGCUCAGAACCUUUCUGGAGGCCAGGGUCACGGUUCCGAAGGCUCCAAGCUCUGGGAGCCUGCAGAAGUCGGGGUGUCCAGCCUCCGCCUGCACAGCUGCAGAGCGUUGAUGCAGACCAAGGUGAGUGCCAGACGGCCGCGGGAGGGAGGCUGUGCUGGCUGCCUGGGCCUCCACGUCUGAGUCACUUGGUUCAUUCAGACGAACGUUUCCACUGUCCAGGGCAGUGGGCUACUGGUACAAGCGUGUCACUGCAAAGACCCACAGGGCAGGGCUGGGGGGGGUGAGCGGGUCUCAGGACCUGGUAGAAGGAGGGAGGUGCUGCGUGGCCUGUUCAUCAGCUUUUCUUCAUGGUCUGAAGUUCCUGCAACAGCGGUAGUGUCACCUGUCACAGGGGCUCAGGCAGGAAGGGACAGACAAGUGGGUGGGAGAGGACAAGCUUUCGCGGGGACAGGUCUCCUGCCUGCCCCUGGAAGCGGGUCUUCUGAGGAGCACCAUAACCAGUCGGCUUCCAAGGGCUCCAGCCUGGAGGGGCCCUUCCCCCACCAGGGGACUCAGAGCAUGGUUGGGGUUCGCUCUACAUGCCGCCCCCCACUCCCAGAAGGUAGGGGUGGCACGUGGUGGUGAGUCCAGCACGAGGAUCUGCUUUGAUGGUCGGCGUGGACAGUGCCCUGCAGGUGCUGUGGGGCUGCAGAAGGGCCCUCUCCAGGGGUGCCCAGCACUCGGCGUCCAUCUGCUUUAGGAAGACAGCACGGGCAGGGGGCAGAAAGUUGAGGAGGUGCAAGGCACAGGCCGUGUUAGAGCACCAGGACAAAUGUCCCAGCGGCUGUCAGGUGGGAGUUUGUGAUCAGCCCAGCAGUGAACACUGGGACGAGAACAUGAAGGGCAGUGUGUCCUCCACAGAGAGACCAGACACCCAGCAUGAGGGCCAUGUGACCCCACCUAAGAAACAGGAACCCACCACUGUCCUGAGGGCCACAGGCCAGGGUUGUAGUCUUUUGGGACGCAGAGGCCGGCCACACCCCCAGCGUUUGCUGGGUAGUCACAGAGCUGUGCACCUGUGCCCGUGUCUCACUAACGCCUGAGAGAAACGCCCCACGGCCUCGCCGAGGGCGGCAGGGUGGGGCGGGCUGCCGCACGCAUGUCCUGUUGCUGCGCAUGCUCCAUCCUGACCGUGUGCCAUCUCCCACCAGCUCUCAGGGACGCCGGGCGGCAGCCAGGGGAGCCUCAUCACAUACAGCCUCUUUCUGCAGACGCCCUUCUGCGGGCACGGGCGGUGCGUCA